RNAcentral lists this transfer RNA (85 nucleotides) under Segatella copri. Its description in RNAcentral is "tRNA-Leu". It matches the Rfam family "tRNA". Rfam says of the family: Transfer RNA (tRNA) molecules are approximately 80 nucleotides in length. Their secondary structure includes four short double-helical elements and three loops (D, anti-codon, and T loops). Further hydrogen bonds mediate the characteristic L-shaped molecular structure. tRNAs have two regions of fundamental functional importance: the anti-codon, which is responsible for specific mRNA codon recognition, and the 3' end, to which the tRNAs corresponding amino acid is attached (by aminoacyl-tRNA synthetases). tRNAs cope with the degeneracy of the genetic code in two manners: having more than one tRNA (with a specific anti-codon) for a particular amino acid; and 'wobble' base-pairing, i.e. permitting non-standard base-pairing at the 3rd anti-codon position. Lineage: Bacteria; Pseudomonadati; Bacteroidota; Bacteroidia; Bacteroidales; Prevotellaceae. The record is from RNAcentral.
GCGGAUAUGGUGGAAUUGGUAGACACGCUGGAUUUAGGUUCCAGUAGCGUCAGCUGUAGGAGUUCGAGUCUCCUUAUCCGCACCA